UAAUUUUCUGUUACAAGCAAAAGGUUGCCU
RNAcentral lists this non-coding RNA (30 nucleotides) under Mus musculus (house mouse). Lineage: Eukaryota; Metazoa; Chordata; Mammalia; Rodentia; Muridae. The record is from RNAcentral.